GAAAACCAACUGGGAUUACCUUAGUAACGGCGAGUGAAGCGGUAAAAAGCUCAAAUUUGAAAAUCUGGUACUUUCAGUGCCCGAGUUGUAAUUUGUAGAAUUUGUCUUUGAUUAGGUCCUUGUCUAUGUUCAUUGGAACAGGACGUCAUAGAGGGUGAGAAUCCCGUUUGGCGAGGAUACCUUUUCUCUGUAAGACUUUUUCGAAGAGUCGAGUUGUUUGGGAAUGCAGCUCAAAGUGGGUGGUAAAUUCCAUCUAAAGCUAAAUAUUGGCGAGAGACCGAUAGCGAACAAGUACAGUGAUGGAAAGAUGAAAAGAACUUUGAAAAGAGAGUGAAAAAGUACGUGAAAUUGUUGAAAGGGAAGGGCAUUCGAUCAGACAUGGUGUUUUUUGCAUGCACUCGCCUCUCGUGGGCUUGGGCCUCUCAAAAAUUUCACUGGGCCAACAUCAAUUCUGGCAGCAGGAUAAAUCAUUAAGAAUGUAGCUACUUCGGUAGUGUUAUAGCUUUUUGGAAAUACUGUUAAGCC
Molecule: ribosomal RNA, 525 nt
Filed under: uncultured Hanseniaspora
Lineage: Eukaryota; Fungi; Ascomycota; Saccharomycetes; Saccharomycodales; Saccharomycodaceae
Description: eukaryotic LSU rRNA
Rfam family: Eukaryotic large subunit ribosomal RNA
Source: RNAcentral